RNAcentral lists this ribosomal RNA (508 nucleotides) under uncultured bacterium. RNAcentral's name for it is "bacterial SSU rRNA". It matches the Rfam family "Bacterial small subunit ribosomal RNA", at positions 36 to 524 of the family's 1533-position model. The record is from RNAcentral.
GUACCUAGCGGCGUGCCUAUCAUGCAAGUCGAGCGAGCGGACGAGAAGCUUGCUUCUCUGAUGUUAGCGGCGGACGGGUGAGUAACACGUGGAUAACCUACCUAUAAGACUGGGAUAACUUCGGGAAACCGGAGCUAAUACCGGAUAAUAUUUUGAACCGCAUGGUUCAAAAGUGAAAGACGGUCUUGCUGUCACUUAUAGAUGGAUCCGCGCUGCACUAGCUAGUUGGUAAGGUAACGGCUUACCAAGGCAACGAUGCAUAGCCGACCUGAGAGGGUGAUCGGCCACACUGGAACUGAGGCACGGUCCAGACUCCUACGGGAGGCAGCAGUAGGGAAUCUUCCGCAAUGGGCGAAAGCCUGACGGAGCAACGCCGCGUGAGUGAUGAAGGUCUUCGGAUCGUAAAACUCUGUUAUUAGGGAAGAACAUAUGUGUAAGUAACUGUGCACAUCUUGACGGUACCUAAUCAGAAAGCCACGGCUAACUACGUGCCAGCAGCCGCGGUAAU